UUUAGAUCUUCUGCCCAUUUUUUGAUGGGGUUGUUUGUUUUUUUGGUAUGGAGUUUCAGAAGGUGUUUAUAAAUAUUGGAGAUUAAUCUCUUGUCAGUCGAUUCACUUGCAAAGAUUUUCUCCCAUUCUGUGGGUUGUCUUUUCACGUUGUUUAGGGUUUCCUUUGCUGUGCAGAAACUUUGAAGUUGAUUAGGUCUCGUGUUUAUUUUUGUUUUUAUUGUCUAUACUCUGAUAGAUGGAUCUGAGAAGAUGUAGUUGUCGUUUAUGUCAGAGAGUGUUUGGCCUAUGUUUUCCUCUAAGAGGUUGAUAGUGUCUGGUCUUAUAUCUAGGUCUUUAAUCCAUUUGGAGUUAAUUUUUGUGUCUGGUGUUAGGGAGUGUUCUAAUUUCAUUCUUUUCCAUGUGGCUGUCCAAGGUUUCCCAGCAGCACUUAUUGAACAAGCUGUCCUUUCUCCAUUGUAUAUCCUUGCCUCCUUUGUCAUAGAUGAGUUGGCUGUAGGUGCAUGGGUUUAAUUCUGGGCUUUCUAUCCUGUUCCACUGAUCUAUAUUGUGCCAGUACCAUAUGGUUUUGAUGAUUAUUGCUUUGGAGUAUAGCCUGAAGUCUGGGAGCCAGGUUCUUCCAGCUCUAAAGACAUCCUGAAGAAGAAAAAAGGAUUUUCACUUUAAUAUUAGCCAUGGUUAUGCAUGUAGGGUUCUGUAGGUCAGUGCUUUCUAUGUUGUAAGCAAAAUUUCUUGUACAAAAUGCAAGGUAUAUAUGUGAGUUAAGUAAUUUGGAUGAAAAGUACUACUUCUAAAGAUAAAGAAAGUUUGUUUUAGACAUUAAGUAUUGAUAGAUAUACCCAAUGAAAAAUGUAAUUUUUUCAUUUAUAUCUUUGGUUUAUAAGUAUAAACGUGAAUAAAAAACCACAAAGGCCAUCAUUGUGGCCUAGGGGAUUAAUAGAGUAUCUUAGGGAUAAUUUUGUUUGUUAUGAACUUUCCUAAUACAGAUUAAUCCCUUCUAUUUGAUAAUUACCUUUUCAUUUAGUAAAAUUCAUUGUAUUUAAUAAUUGUUUUGAUAAAAUAAGGGGAUAACAUCAAUUCUAAGCCACAUAAAUAUAACAUUUUAUAAACAAGAUUUUUAAAAAAUGAAUACAUUUUUUCCUCUCUAUUAGGGAAUGCAAGUGAAUCCUUAAUUUAGAAACUUGUAGCCCCAUCCAGGUAUAGGCUAAAUUGACUUAUGAGUGUCAGCCAAACAUGUGUUCCAGGAAUGACUUUCCAUCAGGGUUUUUAUUUAGGAAAAGAAAUAUUUAUAUGUUUUCAACAUGAAUAUAAAUCAUACAACCUAAUUUGUAGAAUUUUCCUAUGACUUGGAGGCAGGUGUUUGGCAGAAGAGUCUAAAUGUUCGUUUUUUAAAAAAGCAACUACUUACUGAGUACUUUCUCUUUGCCUGUCACUGAGAUAAGAGCUUUACAUAUUUUAAGACAUAUGAGUUAUUGUUACUUGCAUGUAAUAGAUAAGGCAACUCAAAUUUAGUAAGUUUUACUAACUUGUUCCGGUUCAAACUAGGCCUGUUUGACUUCAAAGUUCGUGCUUUUAACUGUAACAUAAUACUGCCUCUCUAAUGACUUGUAUAUUUUAAACCGUUAUAAAUCAAGGAAUAUUUGGAAAGAGCUGAGGGGUUUCCUACUCAAAGGAAUCUUAUGGCAAGUCUUUUCAUAAAUCAUCUAAAAAUGUAAGAACAAUCCUUCAAAUUCAAUCUUUUAAAAUGGCAACACUUUUAUUUAUUUAUUUUUUGUAAUUAGUGAGUGAUUUAGGCAGGAAGGCAAACAUGGACAUAAUUUUUUUUUUUUUUGUAAUUAGUGAGUGACUUAGGCAGGAAGACAAUAUAAAUUGGCAGGAUCCUAAAAACCAACAUAUCUUUUUCUCAAGAACUAGAAACUUCAGUGACUCCCUAUGAAAAAUUAUCAGUGGAAAAUUUCACAAUCAACUAGAGUAACAGUGAGCCCUUUGUCUCUUCUUAGUCUAGCGGCUCGUGUCUUAGAGCUCUUGAAAAGAUAACAUCUGAGCCACUAUAUUGUCUUGUCUCCUUCAUUGGAUUAGCAAUAGAAUUCAAGGCCCCAUUCAUUCUCUUAUUCUAAGCCAUCUUUAAGUCUUCAUCUGUCAGGGUCUGUAGCAGUUGACAAGCAUCUGCCCAUUAAUUCACUCAUUCUCUAAGUUCUUAUUGACAGCCUACUUUUGGCCAGAUACUCUGAAUAGGCAUUGUAAAUACAAAGUUGAACAAAACAGCUAAGAUCUUUUUGAUGGGCCUUAAAAUCUUGUGAGGAAGAUAUUUCUUUCUUUUUUUUUUGUUGUGUUGUUUUAAGGCUGCAUCCAAGGCAUAUGGAAGUUCCCAGGUUAGGAGUGGAAUUGGAGCUGUAGCUGCCAGCCUAUGCCACAGCCACUGCAACAUGAGAUCUGAGCCGCAUCUGCGACCUAUACCACAGCUCAUACAAUGCUGGAUCCUUAACCCCCUGAGCAAGGCCAGGGAUCAAACCCGAGUCCUCAUGGAUAUUAGUCGGAUUUUUUUUACCACUGCGCCACAAGGAGAACUCCCAUUUCUUAAAAAAAUAAAGUUGUAGAAAUCAAGAGAAAGUUCAGUCUGAAUCAGGAAGAAUUUGGGGAAUAAUAGCUUUCAAGUAAUGCCUUCAUGCUCUUAAGUUAUUGGACUGGAGAUCUAUUUUUUAUUUUUUAUUUUAUUACUCAAUGAAUUUAUUACAUUUAUAGUUGUACAAUGAUCAUCACAAUCCAAUUUUAUAGGUUUUCCAUCCCACAACCCAAGCACAUCCCACCACCCCCCAAACUGUCUCCUUUGGAAAGUGUAAGUUUUUCAAAGUCUGUGAGUCAGCAUCUGUUCUGCAAAGAAGUUCAUUCUGUCCUUUUUUCAGAUUCCACAUGUCAGUGAAAGCAUUUGAUGUUGGUGUCUCAUUGUCUGACUGACUUCACUUAGCAUGAUAGUUUCUAGGUCCAUCCAUGUUGCUAAAAAUGCUGGUAUUUCAUUCCUUUUAAUGGCUGAGUAAUAGUCCAUUGUGUAUAUGUACCACAUCUUCUUGAUCCACUCCUCUGUCGAUGGACAUUUAGGUUGUUUCCAUGUCUUGGCUAUUGCAAAUAGUGCUGCAGUGAACAUCGGAGUGCAUGUGUCUUUGCGAGUCAUGGUUUUCUCUGGAUAGAUGCCCAGGAGUGGGAUUGCUGGAUCAAAUGGUAGUUCUAUUUUUAGUGGAAUGGAGAUCUAUUUAAGCUGCAUUGAUUGCAAGUUCAUAGUUAGUAUUCAUGUACAUGGUUUUGAAAUUGCUUGAGAAAAAACUUUCAAGUUAUUCAAACAUUCCUUCUAAUAUUUUGUUUAUUUUUUCUUUAGUUAACCAAUUCAUUCUUUCACUCAAGCAUUGAUAGAACUUGUAUUGAGGGUCAGUUGUACAGGACAGUACAGCACAGCCCUGGCUCUUAGGAAGCUCAGAACCCAGGGAGGGGAUCUUCAUAUGAGUGAGUAGUGAUGUUGCUAUGUGAUUAAUGUUCUACUAGAAGUGUGACUACUGUGUUGUGAGAGUAUGGAGUUGGAGCAGCAAACCCUGGGGGUUAGGAAAUUUUUUUCAAGAGAGAAGAUUAUAGCAAUGAACAGAACUUUGCCUUAAGCAAAAGAGGGAUGCAUUCUAGUAAGAAAGAACAACAUGUGUAAGGGAAUGGAUUCAAGAGACAGAAAUAAAUCAGCUUGGGGGAGCAUAGGAGUGUGGGUGGGAAAUGAGCUUGAGGGGACACACUAGAACCUGACCAGGGAGCAUCUGGGUCCUGCAGAAAAGGUUGAAUUUUCUCCUUGUUGAUGAGAAACCUCUCAAUUUUAUUAAUCACUUAUUUAGCAAAUUUUUCUUUCCAGUGAGAGAUGCAGAAGAAUGGGGGAAAAUAUGUAGCUUAGAAACCAGUUAUGAGGCUAUUAAAACACUUCAAGCGAAAAAUGAUAAGAAACCAAAAUCAGGGUGUAGUGGGAAGAUGGAGAAGGAAAGUAGACUUGAGAGGCAUUUGAAGAGUUAACUUAGUUGAUUAUUGCUGUUGUUGAAUAGGCUGAUAUCCCUGGAAAGGAAAGGAAAGGUGGUCAAGACGGCCAUGGUAUUUCUGUGCUGAGAGCUGCUGGAGUGUGACCGGCAGGUGGCAGAAUGUAAGCAAGUUGUUUCAGUAGAGCUGGUGUCUUAGCUACUCGGUGAUAGAAAUACCAGAAAUUCAUUUCUUACAGUUCUGGAGGCUGAAGUCUGAGGUCAGGGUGCCAGCAUUUCAGGUGAGGGUCUACUUCCAGGUGGCGGACUUCUCUCUGUGUCCUUGCCUGGCAGAAGGGGCGAGGGGGCUCUCCGAGGUCUCUUAUAAGGGAACUAAUCCCAUUCACGAGGAUUCCACCCUCAUGACCCAAGCGCUCCUAGAGGCCACGGCGCCUAAUACCAUCACAUUGGGCGUUAGAACUUUAAUUGGGAGUCACACAAAUAUUCAGACCAUAGCAGCAUGACUAAUGCUAAAAUGCAAAUCACCAUUAUCAGACACAACCUAGAAUAGAUUUACAAGGAGAUCCUGCUGAAUAGCAUUGAGAACUAUGUCUAGAUACUCAUGUCGCAACAGAAGAAAGGGUGGGGGAAAAACUGUAACUGCAAUGUAUACAUCUAAGGAUAA
RNAcentral lists this long non-coding RNA (4659 nucleotides) under Sus scrofa (pig). RNAcentral's name for it is "lncRNA (ENSSSCG00030002481.1)". The record is from RNAcentral. Lineage: Eukaryota; Metazoa; Chordata; Mammalia; Artiodactyla; Suidae.